This 2562-nucleotide long non-coding RNA is filed under the name Pan troglodytes (chimpanzee). Its description in RNAcentral is "long non-coding RNA NONPTRT011874". Lineage: Eukaryota; Metazoa; Chordata; Mammalia; Primates; Hominidae. The record is from RNAcentral.
UUCUGCGUGUGUUCCUGCAUGACUUGGUGUGUCCCCUUCUCUUGGAUCUGUCAGCCUGCACACAGGCCUGUGCUCUUCAAGACCACGCAGGCCUCACCAUUCCCUCUGACAGCUCACUGCUGCCCUUCUUCACACACGCAAGUUCCCUGUGUGACAUCUGAGUUGGUGACUGUGGCUUCAAAUGAUCAGGAAAACUGCAGUUGACAGCAGAUAACUGAAAGCUCGGAAAGCGAAACCGUGGAUAAGCAGGGGAACUGUGGCAUCCCAUUUAAAAUUGCUUCUGAAGAGAAGCAUGAGGUUACAUCUGUAAUCUCCCUGCAGCAGAGUCAACUGCAUAAGAAACCAAAAGACACACCUGCUCCAUGCCAGCUUCGAUAAUUUCUUUGUACCUUCGGCGAAAGAAGCCCAUCUGAAAGGCAGAAAGAAAGAGGAGAAGCUGAGUUAGAAGUGCUGAAGAAUCAGCCAUUGUGACCCCAAGGCAGUCUGUCCCUGGGUAGGUGUGACCUGCACUCACAGGGCUGGGGAGGCUUGGAGGACCCCUCGGAUUAGAGAAAACACUGGCAAGAAAAACAUCCGGUGGAGACAUUUUUCAAAAUGCAUGGACUUCCUGCGGGUGAUAUUAGGUUUUCCUGAGAUCACCUUCCAAAUAAAUGACUUGCCCUCAAAUCAUUGUUUCAAUCCCCUUGAAUAGAGGAAAUCAAACAGAGACACACACUUGACCUGGUGCUGGUAGGCUUGCCACACUGCAGGUUGUGGUACCAUGGUAUCAUCAGCUUGCAAUUCCCAAGUCAUAUUGGAAAACCCUCAAGACUCUUUGCAGUCUGCUGCCAACAGUGCAUGCACAUAUAAGACGUGUCCUACACAAAUCAUGAAGCAAACCCAGCUGUCAUGGGCACAUCAAAUGUUUUUGUUGUCUGUAUUUGUCCUCAGGCUUCUUCACUGUGAGCCAAACAUCCAGGGAAGCAUCACAGCCACCCUGAUGGUCAUAAGCUCCCCUGAAGAAGGGAAGGCAGGUGGACCUGAGGAGCUGUCUGUUGCCACCAUCUUUCUACUUCCCUAAAGGGGGCUUAUUGGCCAAGCCAAAGACGAGAACUGUCAAGAGAGCCAGCAGGUAUCUUCACCCACGUUGCCAAGGAGAUCCUGAGCAUUCACUGUGAGGGGAAGUCGAUAAGGUGGUGCAGUUUGAAUGACUGGGAAAGAGCAGAAGCUUUCUUAGAACAACUGGCAAGAGUCUUGUGUUCUGAGCUUCAAUCCUCAAGGCCAGUUUUGUAAACAGAUAUUGAGUUCCUGGUGAUUUCAGCCCUGGAGGUUUCUUCCCAGCAUAAGACCACAUUCAUCAGAAUGCCACGUUCUGACGCCCCCACACAUAUACUUUUCUCUCCUGAAACCUCUUCACCUUCUCCCCUCUGCAAGAGAUGUGGAAAAGGUGCUUGGCCAGAAUUUUCUGGAUAAUUAAGAAAAAGUCAUAGACAUCAUCCCCACAGCACACCCACAGAAGGCCAGAAAAACGGACCAAGACUGAAUGGAAAUCUAAGAAGCUACUGCUUGAAAUGUCAUUCUUUUGCGAUAAAGGUGUGGUUGGCCAAGAAAACAUGACCAGAUGUGGCUGGUCACAUGCCAUGAAGGAGAAUGUAAUCAUGAAACUGUGGAAGGAUGUAACAGGGAAAUAAGAUUCUCUAGCACAUACCUUUGGCUGCUGAUGUUGUAAUGUGUCAAUAAUCCCAGGUCACUCAGUUGUAAUUCCAGAGAAGUCACAUUUCCCUACCAUGGCACUAUCAAGCAGAAACUUAACAGUCUGCCCUCUUAUUAUCUCCUGCAUUUGUCUUAGGACUCCUUGAAGGCAGGCUUUGUGCUUUCAAUCCCCAGUACUCAGCAUCUCACCUGUCCUUGGUACCAGCGAUAAAUUGCAAAGAUGCCCACAUACCCUCCACACCCUUUACCAUGUGACUCUCCAGCUCUUCCCAUCAUGAGGUGGAGUCUAUUUUCCCAGCCUUGAUUCUCCACUGAGACUAGCUUUGACAAUUGGAUGAGAGGGAGGAGAUGUUGUGUCUGUUACACACUUAGUCCCCAAGGGGCUGUGCACACUUCCAAUUACUUUCUCAGAACCCUGCCCUGCUUCCACACAAAUGCCUUUGUCUAACCUGCUAAGAGACCAGUUUUUUUUUGAAGCCCUCCCAGACUAGCCAACUCCCAGCUGCCCGCAGAGGCUCUUGUAAGUCUCGCUGAGCUCAAACUGCCCCACUGAGCUCAGUCCAAAUAGCCAACCCACAGAACUGUGACCUGCAUAGAUGGAUAUUGCUUUUAAGCCGCUCAAUACUGGGGUGGUUUGUCAUGUAGCAUAAGUUAACUGGUACAGACUCAAUAUUUUUUUUGCUGACUUAAUGAAUCAGACAGACAGCUGAUAGGGCUCUAGAUUUAAACAGCAUCAGUUAGUGUGCCUUGCGGAACUGGACUUUUCACUUUUUUUUUUUUUUUUGAGACAGUGUCUCACUCUGUCACCCAGGCUGGAGUGCAAUGGCAUCAUCUCGGCUCACUGCAACCUCUGCCUCCCAGGUUCAAGUG